UCGGGAAUAUUGCGCAAUGGAGGAAACUCUGACGCAGUGACGCCGCGUAUAGGAAGAAGGUUUUCGGAUUGUAAACUAUUGUCGUUAGGGAAGAAAUUGACAGUACCUAAGGAGGAAGCUCCGGCUAACUAUGUGCCAGCAGCCGCGGUAAUACAUAGGGAGCAAGCGUUAUCCGGAUUUAUUGGGUGUAAAGGGUGCGUAGACGGGAAAUUAAGUUAGUUGUGAAAUCCCUUGGCUUAACUGAGGAACUGCAACUAAAACUGAUUUUCUUGAGUACUGGAGAGGAAAGUGGAAUUCCUAGUGUAGCGGUGAAAUGCGUAGAUAUUAGGAGGAACACCAGUGGCGAAGGCGACUUUCUGGACAGUAACUGACGUUGAGGCACGAAAGUGUGGGGAGCAAACAGG
This 404-nucleotide ribosomal RNA is filed under the name uncultured bacterium. Its description in RNAcentral is "bacterial SSU rRNA". It matches the Rfam family "Bacterial small subunit ribosomal RNA", at positions 355 to 776 of the family's 1533-position model. The record is from RNAcentral.